GUAGGGCGCAAGCGUUGUCCGGAAUUAUUGGGCGUAAAGAGCUCGUAGGCGGUCUGUCGCGUCGGAAGUGAAAACCCGGGGCUUAACCCCGGGCUUGCUUUCGAUACGGGCAGACUAGAGUGUGGUAGGGGAGACUGGAAUUCCUGGUGUAGCGGUGAAAUGCGCAGAUAUCAGGAGGAACACCGGUGGCGAAGGCGGGUCUCUGGGCCACUACUGACGCUGAGGAGCGAAAGCGUGGGGAGCGAACAGGAUUAGAUACCCUGGUAGUCCACGCCGUAAACGUUGGGCGCUAGGUGUGGGGGUCCUUCCACGACCUCCGUGCCGCAGCUAACGCAUUAAGCGCCCCGCCUGGGGAGUACGGCCGCAAGGCUAAA
RNAcentral lists this ribosomal RNA (374 nucleotides) under uncultured bacterium. RNAcentral describes it as "bacterial SSU rRNA". It matches the Rfam family "Bacterial small subunit ribosomal RNA", at positions 527 to 898 of the family's 1533-position model. The record is from RNAcentral.